GGGACCCCAGGCUUUGGCUACGAAGGGGUCUGCCUUUCUACACUAUUCCGGGACACUGGUGUCCACCACUGCCGCCUGGGCACGGGGAACAGAGACUGCCCGGUGGGAGCAGACAAGAGAUUUGAGGAUCUCAGCUUCUUCUCUUCAGUGUGUGCCUGGGAGAAGGUGCAGGUACAGCCAGUGGGGUAGGAUUGAAAAAAGGGACCCGAGAGUUUGGAGACAGUCGCCCACAAUGCACCAGCUCUCUGUGUGUCACAAUCUUGCCUGUCAGGGACCACGAUCCCACUUCACAGUUAGCAAAUAGCAGCUCAGGGACAUUCAGCAACUCGUCCAGCAUCCCACCAGACAGUUACACCUUCAGGGUUGUCUGUGUCUGUUAAAGUCAAGUCUAGUUUCGGGUCUCAGAGCACCUUCCUAAAGCUGCCGUAAGCCAAAAACGAAAUUCUAAGCCCUACAGCUGAUGGAAUGGACCCCGCCUCUGGGCCAAGGGGAUUCCAAACAAACCUGAAAAACUAGUUCAGGCCAUGAUGAGAAGGAGUGGGGGCUGGACAAGCCUUAUACCCUCCUCCCUUCUUCGGAAUUUGGGCACAACUGACCAGAAAUGACAUUAAAACAGAGAUCUUAAGACUGACAAGGCGCUCUGUAGCAAUAAGACACCAAAUUCCAACCUGACGCCAGAGUAUAGCAUCACAUGACAGAUAGAAGGCCGUGAAAUCAAUAUUUUACCUCAAAAUAUAUUUCUUUGACAUAUCUUGAAAUGGCCCUGCCAAGCUGUCUCUUGUGGGGAACAUUUACAUUCUAUAGAGAACCACCUUCCCUUUCCAGGUCUUCUUCUGAUGCUGAAGAAACUGGCUGAGAGUCUGGCACCUGCUAUAGGUCUGAACAGCAAACAUUUGCCAUCUGUUGUCUCUAAGGGUGACCACCUAUGAGAUUUCAUCUAUGUAAUAAGAACCGUGGUCUCCACGGUCUCUUAUCUUAACCCAGACACUCCUUUCUAUUGACAGCAGGUCUGUAGAUAAUAAUUCUUUCAACCAAUUGACAAUUAGAAAAUCUUUGACACUGUCUAUGACCUGGAAGCCCCAUUAUUUUCAAUUGUCCUCUUUCCAGACCAAACCAGUGCAUGACUCCUGGGUACUGACUGUGGUCUUACGUCUCCCUAAGGUGUAUAAACCAAACUGCAGCCUGACUACGUUGUACGCAUGUUCUCAGGACCUCCUGAAGCGGCGUCACAGGCGUUAAUCCAAGAACACAACCAAAAUGAGAAGCUGAGGUUGAGAGAAGUUACCUAAUGGGCCACAGUCACACAGCUGGGAAGUGCAGAACCAAUAUCCACCUCACAUUCGAAGGUCUUUUCUGAACCCCGUCUGCCCCACCCUAGUUAUAGAUGCAGCGUUACCUGGAAAGAAGCUAAAGCUGGGUGGU
Molecule: non-coding RNA, 1422 nt
Organism: Chlorocebus sabaeus (green monkey)
Lineage: Eukaryota; Metazoa; Chordata; Mammalia; Primates; Cercopithecidae
Source: RefSeq, a predicted model, not a curated record